Molecule: non-coding RNA, 154 nt
Organism: Podarcis muralis (Common wall lizard)
Lineage: Eukaryota; Metazoa; Chordata; Lepidosauria; Squamata; Lacertidae
Source: RefSeq, a predicted model, not a curated record
UUCCCCCACCCCACGGACAAGUGCCGGCAGUGCCACUGCAUUAAUGGAAACGUCCAGUGCCUCUCACGUCGCUGCCCGCCCCUUCUGUGCCCGGAACCAUUCCUGAUGCCCGGAGAAUGCUGCCCCCGGUGUCCAGCUCCCCCAGCUGGCUGCU